AUGGAGAUUGCCCACCGGAACCGGGAGCCCUUCAGCGUCAUGUCCGGCCGGAAGCGCCCGCGCCCGCUGGAGAACCUUCGCCAGCGGUUCCAGUCAGAGGUCGCCGCGGUCCGUCGCCUCCUCGCCGAGGCGGCCACCGUGCUUCCCGCCUCGUCCCCGUCGGCUCCCCGCGUGCGCGUCCGUCAAGCCGAGGAGCCUCCAGCCAAGAAGAGGAAGGCGUCCCCUCCCGUUCCGGUGAAGAAGAUGACGCUCAAGGAGAGGAACCAACUCUACGGGGACCUCGCGAAGCUAGCCAAGCUGUCUGAAUCCCAUGUACUCCCUGCUCAUAUCCUGGAGCUGCUGAAGAAGCACAGCCGCCGCGGCAUCUGCAACGAUUACAUCGAGAUCGAGAUGCACGCCGUCCAAGACGCGGCCCUUGUGGAGAUGCAGAAGCAGCUGGACAAGUUCGUUCGCGAAAGCAAGAAUCCGUCGACGCGUCAUCAGCACAAACAGAUGAUGGCCCAAGACCAAGAGGAGGACGAAGACGUGGACAUCGUCGGCGGCGUCUCCCCUUUGCCGGUCAGGCCGACACCAGUUCAGCUCGUCGAAGAGGACGAGGAGUACGUGGACAUCUGCAGCUCGUCGAAGAAUCUUGGCGGAGAUGCAACCAUCAGCGGCAGCAGCGGUUCGGAUUCUGAUUCUUCUCGCCAGAGCGUCGACAGUCCAGCUCCGGCACAGCGCGCCGCCAACACCACGCCUCCAACACGCGACCUGAUCGCCCGUGCCAACGAGAUUUUGGAAAGGCGGCGAAAAGAGGAGACGUCCCGGGCGAGGGAGAAGGCCCGUCAGGAGCUGCUCCAGAUGGAGAGGACGGCAAUGCCGAAGGACACCCUGGACGAGGACGUGAAGGCCCUUGGCAUUGAUCAGCACAACACGGCCCGGCCGGACAACUUGUUGCGACGGAUGGGACUCUUCCUCAAGCUUGACGACCACGACCUGAAGCAGCAGCAGCACCACCAGCACCAAAGCUGCCAAGAAGAUUUAGAGGAAGGGGAGAUUCGGCUGUGA
RNAcentral lists this ribosomal RNA (1047 nucleotides) under Triticum aestivum (bread wheat). RNAcentral's name for it is "partial small subunit ribosomal RNA". The record is from RNAcentral. Lineage: Eukaryota; Viridiplantae; Streptophyta; Magnoliopsida; Poales; Poaceae.